Molecule: ribosomal RNA, 253 nt
Filed under: uncultured bacterium
Lineage: Bacteria
Description: partial 16S ribosomal RNA
Rfam family: Bacterial small subunit ribosomal RNA
Source: RNAcentral
UACGUAGGGCGCAAGCGUUGUCCGGAAUUAUUGGGCGUAAAGAGCUCGUAGGCGGCUUGUCACGUCGGGUGUGAAAGCCCGGGGCUUAACCCCGGGUCUGCAUUCGAUACGGGCUAGCUAGAGUGUGGUAGGGGAGAUCGGAAUUCCUGGUGUAGCGGUGAAAUGCGCAGAUAUCGUUUGGAACGCCAAUGGUGAAAACAGGUUGCUGGGAGUGCGCUGACGCUGAGACACGAAAGCCAGGGGAGCAAACGGG